Molecule: ribosomal RNA, 253 nt
Filed under: uncultured bacterium
Lineage: Bacteria
Description: partial 16S ribosomal RNA
Rfam family: Bacterial small subunit ribosomal RNA
Source: RNAcentral
UACAGAGGGUGCAAGCGUUACUCGGAAUUACUGGGCGUAAAGCGUGCGUAGACGGUCACGUAAGUCGGGUGUGAAAGCCCCGGGCUCAACCUGGGAAUUGCAUUCGAGACUGCAUGGCUAGGGUGCGGAAGAGGGAAGCGGAAUUUCCGGUGUAGCGGUGAAAUGCGUAGAUAUCGGAAGGAACACCAGUGGCGAAAGCGGCUUCCUGGUCCAGCACCGACGUUCAGGCACGAAAGCGUGGGGAGCAAACAGG